UGUGGGAAUCUCUCUGAUGCUU
This 22-nucleotide microRNA is filed under the name Helianthus annuus (common sunflower). RNAcentral describes it as "han-miR3630-3p". Lineage: Eukaryota; Viridiplantae; Streptophyta; Magnoliopsida; Asterales; Asteraceae. The record is from miRBase by way of RNAcentral.